UUCCUGUUUAUUGCGCUGCCGCAAAUGGGCAUCUGGAAAUCGUCAAGUAUCUACUAGAUCUCCAACCCGAAACGAUCUCUGUGAUUGGCUAUAACGGUAACCUUCCUGUUCAUGGCGCUGCCUUUAAAGGGCAUCUGGAACUUGUCAAGUAUCUACUAGAUCUCCAACCCGAUACAAUCUCUGCAAAGAACAAUACCGGUGAUCUUCCUGUUCAUUACGCUGCCUGGAAUGGACAUCUGGAAGUAGUCAAGUAUCUACUAGAUCUCCAACCCGACACGAUCUCUGCAAAGAACAACACCGGUGAUCUUCCUGUUCAUGACUCUGCCAGGAAUGGACAUCUGGAAGUAGUCAAGUAUCUACUAGACCUCCAACCCGACACGAUCUCUGUAAAGAACAAUGACGGUAGUCUUCCUGUUUAUUGCGCUGCCGCAAAUGGGCAUCUGGAACUCGUCAAGUAUCUACUAGAUCUCCAACCCGAAACGAUCUCUGUGAAUGGCUAUAACGGUAACCUUCCUGUUCAUGGCGCUGCCUUAAAGGGGCAUCUGGAACUCGUCAAGUAUCUACUAGAUCUCCAACCCGACACAAUCUCUGCAAAGA
Molecule: long non-coding RNA, 597 nt
Organism: Sycon ciliatum
Lineage: Eukaryota; Metazoa; Porifera; Calcarea; Leucosolenida; Sycettidae
Exons: 6
Source: RefSeq, a predicted model, not a curated record